This 372-nucleotide long non-coding RNA is filed under the name Gossypium raimondii (Peruvian cotton). RNAcentral's name for it is "long non-coding RNA (GRAI_LNC006291)". Lineage: Eukaryota; Viridiplantae; Streptophyta; Magnoliopsida; Malvales; Malvaceae. The record is from RNAcentral.
GUCGAUCUAUGAACCAAGCGGUGCAUACGAUGGUGGAGGGAAAACAAUAGUCUUCGCUGAGGAUCUGGAUUGGAGGAGGGGCCUUUAAAAGUGGAAGUAGCGGUUGAAAAAGAUAAAAGGUCUCUAAGAUGACGAUGAAAUGGGUCGUAGGAAAUGUGUAUUAAGGGCUCUGAUGAUUCGUUUCUACUAGAAUCCAUCAUGUAUAUUUAGGGCAAAUGAUCUAUGGGGAAAGAUGAUGGCAGUAGUGAAGCUGUUGAAAGAUGCCACAGAAAUAGGGUUGUUGUUUUUUCUUUCAAAAUGUCUUUUGGGUUUUUUAUUGUGAUAUUUUUCUGGUAGUUUUCUUGAGGGUUCUUGAGUGGACGAGGGUUCUUG